This 429-nucleotide ribosomal RNA is filed under the name Actinomycetes bacterium. RNAcentral's name for it is "Actinobacteria bacterium partial 16S ribosomal RNA". It matches the Rfam family "Bacterial small subunit ribosomal RNA", at positions 355 to 776 of the family's 1533-position model. Lineage: Bacteria; Bacillati; Actinomycetota; Actinomycetes. The record is from RNAcentral.
UAGGGAAUCUUCCGCAAUGGGCGAAAGCUUGACGGCGCAACGCCGCGUGAGUGAUGAAGGUCUUCGGAUCGUAAAACUCUGUUAUUAGGGAAGAACAAAUGUGUAAGUAACUAUGCACGUCUUGACGGUACCUAAUCAGAAAGCCACGGCUAACUACGUGCCAGCAGCCGCGGUAAUACGUAGGUGGCAAGCGUUAUCCGGAAUUAUUGGGCGUAAAGCGCGCGUAGGCGGUUUUUUAAGUCUGAUGUGAAAGCCCACGGCUCAACCGUGGAGGGUCAUUGGAAACUGGAAAACUUGAGUGCAGAAGAGGAAAGUGGAAUUCCAUGUGUAGCGGUGAAAUGCGCAGAGAUAUGGAGGAACACCAGUGGCGAAGGCGACUUUCUGGUCUGUAACUGACGCUGAUGUGCGAAAGCGUGGGGAUCAAACAGG